CCUACGGGUGGCUGCAGUGAGGAAUAUUGGUCAAUGGGCGAGAGUCUGAACCAGCCAAGUAGCGUGCAGGAUGACUGCCCUAUGGGUUGUAAACUUCUUUUAUAUGGGAAUAAAAUGUUCCACGUGUGGGAUUUUGUAUGUACCAUAUGAAUAAGGAUCGGCUAACUCCGUGCCAGCAGCCGCGGUAAUACGGAGGAUCCGAGCGUUAUCCGGCUUUAUUGGGUUUAAAGGGAGCGUAGAUGGGUUGUUAAGUCAGUUGUGAAAGUUUGCGGCUCAACCGUAAAAUUGCAUUUGAUACUGUCAGUCUAGAGUACAGUUGAGGUAGGCGGAAUUCGUGGUGUAGCGGUGAAAUGCUUAGAUAUCACGAAGAACGCCGAUUGCGAAGGCAGCUUACUAAACUAUAACUGACACUGAAGCACGAAAGCGUGGGGAUCGAACAGGAUUAGAUACCCCUGUAGUC
Molecule: ribosomal RNA, 460 nt
Filed under: uncultured bacterium
Lineage: Bacteria
Description: partial 16S ribosomal RNA
Rfam family: Bacterial small subunit ribosomal RNA
Source: RNAcentral